AGCAUAUAAAGGUUUUCAACACUCUCCCAAUAGUCCUUGGAAUACGAUAUGAUUUAUUUCAGUAGAGAUGAUUGGUACAAAUUCUUCUUUAUAUGCAUAUAUAUUUCAAAUUUUAUUUUUAAUGAAGGUAAGAUUUAUAUAUAUUUUUUCUUCAAUAUAUCAGAUUCUUGAAAGUGAAGUAACAUGAAUGAUCUUCAUGGGACAUGAGUUGAUGAAGGCAAGAAUAGAAAGUUCAAGGUUGUGCUGUGGAAAUUUUAGUAGUUACCUUUUCAUGUUUUUUCUUCUCUAGUUCCAAUGGUUUUGGAACCACCUUAUGUAAUGUAAAACACUAAAUGACAACAAUGUUAUACUUUUAACAAGUUGUGUUGGGUUUUAUACUUUCGUUUUAUCUCUGGG
Molecule: long non-coding RNA, 396 nt
Filed under: Vigna radiata
Lineage: Eukaryota; Viridiplantae; Streptophyta; Magnoliopsida; Fabales; Fabaceae
Description: long non-coding RNA (VRAD_LNC001540)
Source: RNAcentral